UACCUGGGACUCAGGACUGAACGGACUGGCGGCGUGCUUAACACAUGCAAGUCGAACGAGAACCGAUUGGAGUCGAGGAGUUCGUCCAAGUGAAGGUGGGGAAAGGUGGCGGACGGGUGAGUAACGCGUGAGCAAUCUGCCUUGGAGUGGGGAAUAACGGCUGGAAACAGCGCUAAUACCGCAUGAUACAGCUGGGAGGCAUCUCCCUGGCUGUCAAAGAUUUAUCGCUCUGAGAUGAGCUCGCGUCUGAUUAGCUAGUUGGCGGGGUAACGGCCCACCAAGGCGACGAUCAGUAGCCGGACUGAGAGGUUGGCCGGCCACAUUGGGACUGAGACACGGCCCAGACUCCUACGGGAGGCAGCAGUGGGGAAUAUUGGGCAAUGGGCGCAAGCCUGACCCAGCAACGCCGCGUGAAGGAAGAAGGCUUUCGGGUUGUAAACUUCUCUUGUCAGGGACGAAGCAAGUGACGGUACCUGACGAAUAAGCCACGGCUAACUACGUG
Molecule: ribosomal RNA, 502 nt
Filed under: uncultured Oscillospiraceae bacterium
Lineage: Bacteria; Bacillati; Bacillota; Clostridia; Eubacteriales; Oscillospiraceae
Description: bacterial SSU rRNA
Rfam family: Bacterial small subunit ribosomal RNA
Source: RNAcentral